This 484-nucleotide ribosomal RNA is filed under the name uncultured bacterium. Its description in RNAcentral is "bacterial SSU rRNA". It matches the Rfam family "Bacterial small subunit ribosomal RNA", at positions 28 to 526 of the family's 1533-position model. The record is from RNAcentral.
GACGAACGCUGGCGGCGUGCUUAACACAUGCAAGUCGAGCGGUAAGGCCCUUUCGGGGGUACACGAGCGGCGAACGGGUGAGUAACACGUGAGUAAUCUGCCCUUCACUUCGGGAUAACUACCGGAAACGGUGGCUAAUACCGGAUAUGACCACUUCACGCAUGUGAUGGUGGUGGAAAGUUCCGGCGGUGGAGGAUGAGCUCGCGGCCUAUCAGCUUGUUGGUGAGGUAGUGGCUCACCAAGGCUUCGACGGGUAGCCGGCCUGAGAGGGUGACCGGCCACACUGGGACUGAGACACGGCCCAGACUCCUACGGGAGGCAGCAGUGGGGAAUAUUGGACAAUGGGCGAAAGCCUGAUCCAGCAACGCCGCGUGAGGGAUGACGGCCUUCGGGUUGUAAACCUCUUUCAGCGCUGACGAAGCGAAAGUGACGGUAGGCGCAGAAGAAGCACCGGCCAACUACGUGCCAGCCGCCGCCGUAACAC